RNAcentral lists this ribosomal RNA (861 nucleotides) under Fusicolla aquaeductuum. RNAcentral's name for it is "LSU rRNA". It matches the Rfam family "Eukaryotic large subunit ribosomal RNA", at positions 74 to 967 of the family's 3401-position model. The record is from RNAcentral. Lineage: Eukaryota; Fungi; Ascomycota; Sordariomycetes; Hypocreales; Nectriaceae.
AUUGCCCUAGUAACGGCGAGUGAAGCGGCAACAGCUCAAAUUUGAAAUCUGGCCCUCGGGUCCGAGUUGUAAUUUGUAGAGGAUGCUUUUGGUGAGGUACCUUCCGAGUUCCCUGGAACGGGACGCCAUAGAGGGUGAGAGCCCCGUCUGGUCGGAUACCAAUCCUCUGUAAAGCUCCUUCGACGAGUCGAGUAGUUUGGGAAUGCUGCUCUAAAUGGGAGGUAUAUGUCUUCUAAAGCUAAAUAUUGGCCAGAGACCGAUAGCGCACAAGUAGAGUGAUCGAAAGAUGAAAAGCACUUUGAAAAGAGGGUUAAACAGUACGUGAAAUUGUUGAAAGGGAAGCGCUUGUGACCAGACUUGGGCCCGGUUAAUCAUCCAGCGUUCUCGCUGGUGCACUUGGCCGGCCCAGGCCAGCAUCAGUUCGGUGUGGGGGAUAAAGGCGGCGGGAAUGUGGCUCCUCCGGGAGUGUUAUAGCCCACCGUGUAAUACCCUGUGCUGGACUGAGGUUCGCGCAUUCGCAAGGAUGCUGGCGUAAUGGUCAUUAGCGACCCGUCUUGAAACACGGACCAAGGAGUCGUCUUCGUAUGCGAGUGUUCGGGUGUUAAACCCCUACGCGUAAUGAAAGUGAACGCAGGUGAGAGCUUCGGCGCAUCAUCGACCGAUCCUGAUGUUCUCGGAUGGAUUUGAGUAAGAGCAUACGGGGCCGGACCCGAAAGAAGGUGAACUAUGCCUGUAUAGGGUGAAGCCAGAGGAAACUCUGGUGGAGGCUCGCAGCGGUUCUGACGUGCAAAUCGAUCGUCAAAUAUGGGCAUGGGGGCGAAAGACUAAUCGAACCUUCUAGUAGCUGGUUUCCGCCGAAGU